AGCAGCCGCGGUAAUUCCAGCUCCAAUAGCGUAUAUUAAAGUUGUUGCAGUUAAAAAGCUCGUAGUUGAAUUUCGGGAUCAGCAGGUCGGUCGUGCCACUGGUAUGCACUGGCCUUGCUGAUUCCUCCCUCUUGAUGAGCCGUAAUGCCAUUAAUUUGGUGUUGCGGGGAAUCAGGACUGUUACUUUGAAAAAAUUAGAGUGUUUAAAGCAGGCAUGCGCUUGAAUACAUUAGCAUGGAAUAAUGAAAUAGGACGUUCGAUCCUAUUUUGUUGGUUUCUAGGAUUGACGUAAUGAUUAAUAGGGAUAGUUGGGGGCAUUAGUAUUCAAUUGUCAGAGGUGAAAUUCUUGGAUUUAUUGAAGACUAACUACUGCGAAAGCAUUUGCCAAGGAUGUUUUCAUUAAUCAAGAACGAAAGUUAGGGGAUCGAAGACGAUCAGAUAGCCGUCGUAGUCUUAACCAUAAACUAUGCCGACUAGGGAUCGGAUGAUGUUAAUUUUUUAAUGACUCAUUCGGCGCCUU
RNAcentral lists this ribosomal RNA (520 nucleotides) under uncultured Glomus. RNAcentral's name for it is "SSU rRNA". It matches the Rfam family "Eukaryotic small subunit ribosomal RNA", at positions 569 to 1089 of the family's 1831-position model. The record is from RNAcentral. Lineage: Eukaryota; Fungi; Glomeromycota; Glomeromycetes; Glomerales; Glomeraceae.